RNAcentral lists this transfer RNA (87 nucleotides) under Gammaproteobacteria bacterium SCGC AG-212-F23. It matches the Rfam family "tRNA". Rfam says of the family: Transfer RNA (tRNA) molecules are approximately 80 nucleotides in length. Their secondary structure includes four short double-helical elements and three loops (D, anti-codon, and T loops). Lineage: Bacteria; Pseudomonadati; Pseudomonadota; Gammaproteobacteria. The record is from Rfam by way of RNAcentral.
GGAGAGAUGGCUGAGCGGUUUAAAGCGGCGGUCUUGAAAACCGUUGAGUCCUUUCGGGCUCCGGGGGUUCGAAUCCCUCUCUCUCCG